GACGAACGCUGGCGGCGUGCUUAACACAUGCAAGUCGAACGGAAAGGCCCUGCUUGCAGGGUACUCGAGUGGCGAACGGGUGAGUAACACGUGGGUGAUCUGCCCUGCACUUCGGGAUAAGCCUGGGAAACUGGGUCUAAUACCGGAUAGGAGCCAUUUUUAGUGUGAUGGUUGGAAAGUUUUUUCGGUGUAGGGUGAGCUCGCGGCCUAUCAGCUUGUUGGUGGGGUAAUGGCCUACCAAGGCGGCGACGGGUAGCCGGCCUGAGAGGGUGGACGGCGACAUUGGGACUGAGGUACGGCCCAGACUCCUACGGGAGGCAGCAGUGGGGAAUAUUGCACAAUGGGCGCAAGCCUGAUGCAGCGACGCCGCGUGGGGGAUGACGGCCUUCGGGUUGUAAACUCAUUUCGCUAGGGACGAAGCUUUUUGUGACGGUACCUAGAUAAGAAGCACCGGCUAACUACGUG
RNAcentral lists this ribosomal RNA (465 nucleotides) under uncultured bacterium. Its description in RNAcentral is "partial 16S ribosomal RNA". It matches the Rfam family "Bacterial small subunit ribosomal RNA", at positions 28 to 507 of the family's 1533-position model. The record is from RNAcentral.